This 406-nucleotide ribosomal RNA is filed under the name uncultured bacterium. RNAcentral's name for it is "partial 16S ribosomal RNA". It matches the Rfam family "Bacterial small subunit ribosomal RNA", at positions 30 to 526 of the family's 1533-position model. The record is from RNAcentral.
AUUGAACGCUGGCGGCAGGCCUAACACAUGCAAGUCGAACGCGCGUCGCACAGGUGAGUAUUGUAUGGGGAACUGCCCGAUAGAGGGGGAUAAAUACUGGAAACGUUAGCUAAUACCGCAUGCUAUCUGAUUAACCCAUAUGUGAUUAGCUAGUAGUUGAGGUAAUGGCUCACCUAGACGACGAUCCCUAGCGGGUCUGAGAGGAUGAUCAGCCACACCGGGACUGAGACACGGCCCAGACUCCUACGGGAGGCAGCAGUGGGGAAUAUUGCACAAUGGGCGCAAGCCUGAUGCAGCCAUCCCGCGUGUAUGAUGAAGGCCUUCGGGUUGUAAAGUUCUUUCGGCGGAGAAGCGGUAUCUGCAGAAUAAGCACCGGCUAACUACGUGCCAGCAGCCGCGGUAAUUC